This 334-nucleotide unclassified non-coding RNA is filed under the name soil metagenome. Its description in RNAcentral is "partial contains 5.8S ribosomal RNA, internal transcribed spacer 2, and large subunit ribosomal RNA". The stretch from base 1 to 119 matches the Rfam family "5.8S ribosomal RNA", at positions 36 to 154 of the family's 154-position model. The record is from RNAcentral.
AUGAAGAACGUAGCGAAAUGCGAUAAGUAAUGUGAAUUGCAGAAUUCAGUGAAUCAUCGAAUCUUUGAACGCACAUUGCGCCCGCCAGUAUUCUGGCGGGCAUGCCUGUUCGAGCGUCAUUUCAACCAUCAAGCCCCAGGCUUGUGUUGGGGACCUGCGGCUGCCGCAGGCCCUGAAAACCAGUGGCGGGCUCGCUGUCACACCGGGCGUAGUAGAUUUAUCUCGCUCAGGGCGUGCUGCGGGUUCCGGCCGUUAAAAAGCCUUUUUUACCCAAGGUUGACCUCGGAUCAGGUAGGAAGACCCGCUGAACUUAAGCAUAUCAAUAAGCGGAGGA